AUUGAAUGCUGGCGGCAGGCCUAACACAUGCAAGUCGAAUGGUAACAGGAAACAGCUUGCUGUUUCGCUGACGAGUGGCGGACGGGUGAGUAAUGUCUGGGAAACUGCCUGAUGGAGGGGGAUAACUACUGGAAACGGUAGCUAAUACCGCAUAACGUCGCAAGACCAAAGAGGGGGACCUUCGGGCCUCUUGCCAUCAGAUGUGCCCAGAUGGGAUUAGCUAGUAGGUGGGGUAACGGCUCACCUAGGCGACGAUCCCUAGCUGGUCUGAGAGGAUGACCAGCCACACUGGAACUGAGACACGGUCCAGACUCCUACGGGAGGCAGCAGUGGGGAAUAUUGCACAAUGGGCGCAGGCCUGAUGCAGCCAUGCCGCGUGUAUGAAGAAGGCCUUCGGGUUGUAAAGUACUUUCAGCGGGGAGGAAGGGAGUAAAGUUAAUACCUUUGCUCAUUGACGUUACCCGCAGAAGAAGCACCGGCUAACUCCGUG
RNAcentral lists this ribosomal RNA (490 nucleotides) under uncultured bacterium. Its description in RNAcentral is "partial 16S ribosomal RNA". It matches the Rfam family "Bacterial small subunit ribosomal RNA", at positions 30 to 507 of the family's 1533-position model. The record is from RNAcentral.